GCUCCGCAGAGGAGACACUGACCUGCCGGCAGCUGGCCGCCAUGGCACCAGGAGUUCCGCGGGCACCGAGAACGAGUCCGCCGGGUUUCUUCCGGCCUCCCGCACCCCGACCUGAAAAGGAGCAAACCAGUGACCCACACGGGGCCGAGCUUGGGGAGAGAAGGUUCGAGUCUUGGUUCUGGAGACUCCCCCCUCCCGGGGGGAGGAGCUCCCCCUCCACAACGGCCAGGCCUUAGCCAGGCCUUCUCUGGCCUCCGCGAUAUAGGGGUUUCAGACUUAAUAGAUGCAGGGGAAAUAAAUGCGAGCCUGGGGGUCUUGAUGCGGGUGUGGUCCCUUUAAGAUUCCUUUCUUUCUGAUUCCCAACCUCCCCCACCCACCCCCAGUUAACGUAAUUACCUUUUGAUUCACAAAUCCUGGCCCCUUUGAAGUCCAAUAGAAGAUCCGGGCCUGUCCCAGCCCCACCCGGAUCUGAGCCAACUUUGGAGCUACACCCACAGGCCCCUCCAGCUAAAUCUCCCCUUAUAAAAGGGGCCCAGUGGGGCCCCCUCUGCAGAGGUCCCAACAUGCCAACCUUCCGCCCAUGUCAGGACUUUGUGUCCACUGGACCUUCUGUCCCGUGCCCUCCUUAUCUCUACCUUCGCCUAUACUUUAACCUUACUUCCAAACCCCUUUUUAUCAAUCUAGCUUUUCGGGCCAAUAAAUGCUUUUAUUGAGGACUCGCAACACCACUGGACUUCAUUUAACUCCAUAUCCUUGCGCCGAACCCAAGGGGGUUGCAGGGGAGCUCGGUUUGACUCGCUGUACCCUGAACCUGCCACCUAAUUUCACUUAAGUACCCCAGAUCUAUCCCUCAUCAUUCUCACCCACUGCGCCCGACGCCCAAGCCUUGCUCGUGCCCCCUGCCCCCGUCUUCUCCCACUGGCAGUGCCUGCCCCAGCUGGUUCCUCUCCCCAAAUCCCCACACUACUUUCGUUCACUUUUUAUUUCCGGUUAUACAUGUAUAUGAGUUUUUGUAAUACACAUUUAUGAAUCAUGUUGGGCGACAAAAAUCAAAACAAAAGGGAAAAAUCUGGAAAUAAGUGACCUAUACCCUCACCUAUGACCUAUGCUCCCUUCUAGCCUAGCUAGGUUAGACAUCCCCCAACCCUGCAGUUACUUCCUCCCCAGGUCCUCAAGAAGAAGGGGUGUCUUCCCCUCUGGGCACCCCUCACCUGCCUUGACCCCAACCGGACACAUCCUCAUCUGUACAAUUCUAGGCUGGGAGGCCAAGCGUGUGACAACGCCUCCUAAAUCAUGUCCCCCAGGGAGCAAGCGGCUCACUCAGGGCUUCCUCCACUGCUUGAGGGGCAGGUCUCUCAGAGAGGUACAGCAGCUACUCUGGAUUUGGCAGAGAGAGCCUGUUUCCCACUGUUCCAAAUCACGAUCUCAAGCUGAGCUUGGGACGUGUCUCACCCCCUGGCGCAGGGAAGAAGUGAUGGUGGUGUAACUAUUGGUGAGCGACAAAACUCAAGCCAAGCCGGCCAAACUCCGAAACUCAGGAAAUCUGAGAUGGUUUGGCAAGUCUCCUAAGCCCAAAAUCAGAGGCUUAACUCCAGUGAGAAAAGCUGAAUGGAUGAAGAAGGCCCGUUAUCCCGCUGGAGCUGCCCCACCAUUUCCCAGCCAGUACCGAUCACGAGCUUGGGCUGCCUUCCAGGCCACGACUCCUCCCCCGGGACCACACGGCGCAGCUCUACCACCGACUCCUCUCCAGCUAAAUCACACAAC
Antechinus flavipes (yellow-footed antechinus) is the source of this 1764-nucleotide long non-coding RNA. RefSeq lists it as uncharacterized. The transcript is spliced from 2 exons. NCBI's taxonomy places the organism in Eukaryota, Metazoa, Chordata, Mammalia, Dasyuromorphia, Dasyuridae. The record is from RefSeq and is a predicted model, not a curated record.